RNAcentral lists this ribosomal RNA (412 nucleotides) under uncultured microorganism. RNAcentral describes it as "bacterial SSU rRNA". It matches the Rfam family "Archaeal small subunit ribosomal RNA", at positions 330 to 745 of the family's 1478-position model. The record is from RNAcentral.
GCGCACCAGGCGAGAAACCUUCGCAAUGCGGGAAACCGCGACGAGGGACUCCCAGUGCCUACGCUCAGCGUAGGCUGUUCCCGAGCCUAGAAAGCUCGGGGAGUAAGGGCUGGGUAAGACGGGUGCCAGCCGCCGCGGUAAUACCCGCAGCCCGAGUGGUGGCCACUAUUAUUGGGCCUAAAGCGUCCGUAGCCGGCCCGGUAAAUGCCUGGGUAAAUCGUGAGGCCUAACCUCACGAAUUCCGGGUAGACUGCCGGGCUAGGGACCGGAGGAGGGAGAGGGUACUCCAGGGGUAGGGGUGAAAUCCUGUAAUCCCUGGAGGACCACCGGUGGCGAAGGCGCUCUCCUAGGACGGGUCCGACGGUGAGGGACGAAAGCCAGGGGAGCGAACCGGAUUAGAUACCCCGGUAGU